UGGGGAAUAUUGCACAAUGGGCGCAAGCCUGAUGCAGCCAUGCCGCGUGUAUGAAGAAGGCCUUCGGGUUGUAAAGUACUUUCAGUGGGGAGGAAGGUGGUAAGGUUAAUAACCUUAUCAAUUGACGUUACCGACAGAAGAAGCACCGGCUAACUCCGUGCCAGCAGCCGCGGUAAUACGGAGGGUGCAAGCGUUAAUCGGAAUUACUGGGCGUAAAGCGCACGCAGGCGGUUGAUUGAGUCAGAUGUGAAAUCCCCGGGCUUAACCCGGGAAUUGCAUCUGAUACUGGUCAGCUAGAGUCUUGUAGAGGGGGGUAGAAUUCCAUGUGUAGCGGUGAAAUGCGUAGAGAUGUGGGGGAAUACCGGUGGCGAAGGCGGCCCCCUGGACAAAGACUGACGCUCAGGUGCGAAAGCGUGGGGAGCAAACAGG
Molecule: ribosomal RNA, 429 nt
Filed under: Chloroflexota bacterium
Lineage: Bacteria; Bacillati; Chloroflexota
Description: Chloroflexi bacterium partial 16S ribosomal RNA
Rfam family: Bacterial small subunit ribosomal RNA
Source: RNAcentral